GGAGUCUAGCAUGUGCGCAAGUCAUUGGGACUUGAUAAACCUAAAGGCGAAAUGAAAGUAAAUGCGUGCCUUGUGCACGCAUAGGGAAGAUGGGUAACGCACGUCGUUGCCUCGCAUUCCCGGGGCGUCUCGUUCUCAUUGCGAGAAGAGGCGCACCUAGAGCGUACACGCUGGGACCCGAAAGAUGGUGAACUAUGCCUGGUCAGGACGAAGUCAGGGGAAACCCUGAUGGAGGUCCGUAGCGAUUCUGACGUGCAAAUCGAUCGUCGGAACUGGGUAUAGGGGCGAAAGACUAAUCGAACCAUCUAGUAGCUGGUUCCCUCCGAAGUUUCCCUCAGGAUAGCUGGCGCUCGCUUUGCGAGUCUCAUCCGGUAAAGCGAAUGAUUAGAGGCAUUGGGGUCGAAACGGCCUCAACCUAUUCUCAAACUUUAAAUGGGUGAGAUCUCCGGCUUGCUUAAAAAGUGAAGCCGUGAGAUCGGAUCAGAGUGCCAAGUGGGCCAUUUUUGGUAAGCAGAACUGGCGCUGUGGGAUGAACCAAACGCAGAGUUAAAGCGCCUAAAUCGACGCUUAUGGGAUACCAUGAAAGGCGUUGGUAACUUAAGACAGCAGGACGGUGGCCAUGGAA
RNAcentral lists this ribosomal RNA (625 nucleotides) under Drilonius sp. UPOL RK0132. RNAcentral's name for it is "eukaryotic LSU rRNA". It matches the Rfam family "Eukaryotic large subunit ribosomal RNA", at positions 670 to 1259 of the family's 3401-position model. The record is from RNAcentral. Lineage: Eukaryota; Metazoa; Arthropoda; Insecta; Coleoptera; Omethidae.